RNAcentral lists this long non-coding RNA (1120 nucleotides) under Olea europaea subsp. europaea. Lineage: Eukaryota; Viridiplantae; Streptophyta; Magnoliopsida; Lamiales; Oleaceae. The record is from RNAcentral.
AAAAGCCUCUUAACUUCAGUUCGAAAUUUUUCUCAAAUCUGAUCCCAAAAUUUAUUGUCCCCAUUGUACAUCUCAAAACUCUUUUUUUUUUUUCAACACCAAAAUGCUUAUGGUUGGACUAUUAAUGAACCUUGAAUGUAAACUUGCGGUGUACAUGAAAUCCGAUCUUGAAGUGGUAAGAUAAAGCAAGCUUUCAAUCAAGCUUCUGUAAAAAGUUUCCUCCACUUUCUUUUCUCAAGUCAUCCUUUAUCAAUCUCAUUAGAAACAAGCCGAUUUUCAACACUUUACACCCAAACAUUCUUAAAUUUUUAAGCACUUUUCAGCAUACUUCAUUUGAGAAAUAAAUAUUCCAUUUCCAUCUUGAUAUAUUUCCAUAUCAAGGAAAUGAUGUAGCAGUCUCAAACCAUUCAUUUCAUAUCUUUUCACUAUGUCAACUUUAAAUUCUUCAAUCAUUUUUGCUUUGUUUCUGGUAAGCACCAAAUCAUCAACAUAUAAUACAACAAUGAGUAUAUCGAUGUUACCUCGAUGUUUCACGUACAAGAUUGGCUCACUUUUGCUUUUGACAAAUCCAUGUUGCUGAAAAUAGUCAUCAAUUUGACUAUACCAAGUCCUUGAUGCUUGUUUGAGUCCGUAAAAAAUCCUUUUUAGCUUAUACCCCGUCUUCUUCUUCCUUUGCAACAAAACCUUGGGGUUGUUCAAUAUACACAUCAAGUUGGUACAUUAACCAUUCUUUUUGGGCUGCAAGAGAUAUGAGUUCUCUUAUGGGUCUAGGCGAGCAACCGGAGCAAAAGUUUCAUCACAAUUGAUCCAGGGCUGUUGUGUAUAACCUUUCACGGCUAAUCUUGCUUUAUUUCUCUUCAAUAAUCCAUCUGAAUUAUGCUUCAUCUUGGAGACCCAUUUUACACCUAUCACAUCUUUCCUUCUUGUAGACCCAAGUUUUGUUUUUCUCAAUAACUUUUAUCUCUUCCUCCAUUGCUUCUUUCCAACACUCCUCCUUUUUGGCUUCUUCAAAAUUUUUGGGUUCAACUAUACAAAAAUUGUAUAUUGCAUAAACAUCAUUUAAAUUUCACAUUUUUCUUGGAGUUGAGUUUGGUGAUCAUGAACUAGAACUAGAGAAACU